Molecule: ribosomal RNA, 229 nt
Filed under: uncultured bacterium
Lineage: Bacteria
Description: partial 16S ribosomal RNA
Rfam family: Bacterial small subunit ribosomal RNA
Source: RNAcentral
UCCGUAGGCGGGCGACUAAGUCAGAGGUGAAAUCCCACAGCUUAACUGUGGAACUGCCUUUGAUACUGGUUGUCUUGAGUUAUAGUGAAGUAGAUAGAAUAUGUAGUGUAGCGGUGAAAUGCGUAGAUAUUACAUAGAAUACCGAUUGCGAAGGCAGUCUACUAACUGUAUACUGACGCUAAUGGACGAAAGCGUGGGGAGCGAACAGGAUUAGAUACCCUGGUAGUCC